UCAAUUUUAUGGAAGAGUUUGACAGGAUUGGUAUUAAUUCUUUAAGUGUUUGGUAGAAUUCACUAGUGA
Molecule: microRNA precursor, 69 nt
Organism: Equus caballus (horse)
Lineage: Eukaryota; Metazoa; Chordata; Mammalia; Perissodactyla; Equidae
Source: Ensembl